UCUUGAGCCCCUGUUUCUGGCGCGUAGAGACUGUAAAUCACUGCACUUCUCACUCAUCAUCACCCCAGCUUUUCCUAGCUCGAAUUCAGCCUCCAAGUCACGGUCGCAGGAAAGUACGCUAAGGGGAAAAAGCAUCUGUCCCUGGGCCACCUUCUGAGCGUGGUGGAGUUCGCUUGGGGUUUGCUUAGGGUCCAAGAAGCAGAGAGGACAGACCCAGCCCUCACAGAGAAGAGGGCUGGAAAGUCCUGGAGAACCCGGCAGGGGAGGGGCCGCUGUUGCGGUUGGGAGGCCAGGGUGCAGCGCUGGGGUAGCAGAUUCCGAGAUCCGUGAAGGUGCCUGUCUUGGUUUCUCGCAGUAGUCAGAGGCUCCCUGCUCUCCAGCCGCCCAGUGACUCGACUCAAGCCUAAUCUUCAGCACCCCUUGGGACGACCUUUUUGAUGCAAACCUCUGAUUCUGUUUCGCAGGAUCCUCCCCCACCGGCACCAGAAAAUCUGACAAGAACUUGAGGUGUCAGCCCUGAGUAGUGAGACCUGCGGUCUGCGGGACAGCUGUGCCUGGAGGAGAAGGACGCUGGUGGGGCUGAGAGCAGAGCUGUCUUCUGGCCCCGCGGCCCCCCAUGCCUCUGUCAUGGCUAACAGUUCUAGGGGCCGGAAUGGUCGUCCUGCACUUCCUGCAGAAACUCCUGUUCCCUUACUUUUGGGAUGACUUCUGGUUCCUGUUGAAGGUGGUGCUCGUUGGAAUUCGGCUGGAGAAGUAUAAAAAGAGAGGGGAGCUGGUGACUGUGCUGGAUAAAUUCUUGAGUCAUGCCAAAAGGCAACCUUGGAAACCUUUCAUCAUCUAUGAGGGAGACAUCUACACCUAUCAGGAUGUAGACAAAAGGAGUAGCAGAGUGGCCCAUGUCUUCCUGAACCAUUCCUCGCUGAAAAAGGGGGACACGGUGGCUCUGUUGAUGAGCAAUGAGCCGGACUUCAUUCACGUGUGGUUCGGGCUGGCGAAGCUGGGUUGCGUGGUGGCCUUUCUCAACUCCAACAUUCGCGCCAAUUCCCUCCUGAAUUGCAUCCGCACCUGUGGGCCCACGGCCCUAGUGGUGGGCGCAGAUUUACUUGGAACUGUAGAAGAAAUCCUUCCAAGCCUCCCAGAAGAUAUCAGUGUUUGGGGGAUGAAAGAUUCUGUUCCACAAGGUGUAAUUUCACUCAAAGAAAAACUGGGCACCUCAUCUGAUGAGCCCGUGCCACGCAGCCGCCAUGUUGUCUCAUGCCUCAAGUCUACUUGUCUUUACAUUUUUACCUCUGGAACAACAGGUUUACCAAAAGCAGCUGUGAUUAGUCAGCUGCAGGUUUUAAGGGGCUCUGCUGCCCUGUGGGCUUUUGGUUGUACUGCUGAUGACAUUGUUUAUAUAACCCUUCCUCUGUAUCAUAGUUCAGGAGCUAUCCUGGGAAUUUCUGGAUGUGUUGAGUUGGGUGCCACUUGUGUGUUAAAGAAGAAAUUCUCAGCAAGUCAGUUUUGGAGUGACUGCAAGAAGUAUGAUGUGACUGUGUUUCAGUACAUUGGAGAACUUUGUCGCUACCUUUGCAAACAACCUAAGAGAGAAGAAGAAAAGGAUCAUAAGGUGCGUUUGGCAAUUGGAAAUGGUAUACGGAGUGAUGUUUGGAGAGAAUUUUUAGACAGAUUUGGAAAUAUAAAGGUGUGUGAAUUUUAUGGAGCUACUGAAGCAAACAUAUCUUUCAUGAACCACACUGGGAAAAUUGGAGCAGUUGGGAGAACAAAUUUCUUUUACAAACUUCUUUUCACUUUUGACUUAAUCAAGUUUGAUUUUCAGAAAGAUGAACCCAUGAGAAAUGAACAGGGGUGGUGUAUUCAUGUAAAAAAAGGGGAACCUGGACUUCUCAUUUCUCGAGUGCAUGCCAAAAAUCCCUUCUUUGGCUAUGCUGGGUCUUACAAGCACACAAAAAACAAAUUGCUUUGUGAUGUUUUCAAGAAGGGAGAUGUUUACCUUAACACUGGAGACUUGAUAGUCCAGGAUCAGGACAAUUUCCUUUAUUUUUGGGACCGUACUGGAGACACUUUCAGAUGGAAAGGAGAAAAUGUUGCAACCACAGAGGUUGCUGAUGUUAUUGGAAUGUUGGAUUUCAUACAGGAAGCAAACGUCUAUGGUGUAGCUAUAUCAGGUUAUGAAGGAAGAGCAGGAAUGGCUUCUAUUAUUUUAAAACCAAAUGAAUCUUUAGAUUUGGAAAAACUUUAUGAACAAGUUGUAACAUCUCUACCAGCUUAUGCAUGUCCACGAUUUUUAAGAAUUCAGCAGGAAAUUAGUGAGAAAGCCAUUGGGCUUCAAGAGGCCAGGAGGCUGGGAAUGAGCAGCAUUUCAGUGGCUAACUGCAUGCAUCUUUGGGAACCAGAUAAAACAAUGACUGAGAUAGUUGCAUAGCUGGUAACCCAACGCUAUCUUUCCUCAAAUAACUUUAGCACACUCUGAAGAACUUAGUCCUAAUAUCCAGGGAAAUGCCAGGAGAAAGGAGGCCAAAAUUGCCUGAAAUUAAGUGUUGUUAUCUUGCUUUUUAAAAGGGAAUUUAGAUUAAUUGUGGUUAGAAGUAAAAUUUAAAUGCCCUAGAGGGUAAAUUAAUUAAAAUACAGGAAAAAUCACCAGAAUGAAUCUUUACAGAUAGAUACCCAGAGGGUCAUCUAUCAAUCAGUUGUACUUCUUGGGACUUCUGGUAUGAUGCACAAGGUGGAUCUCUUAGAAUUGACAGAUAUUUUGCCUCUUUCUCUCUGUUUGUAAAUUAGGCUGGAAUGGGAGGAGCAGCCAAGAGAUUUCAUCAGCCACAGUGUGCAUGAUGGAUGAGAACACGGGACACAUACCAGUGACGGGCAGUGACUUACUAAGAAUGAAAAUGAGAAGAGGAGGUAGAGCAACAUGGUCAAAUAGAAGCAUUCACUGAUCAUCCUCCCUGCAGGAACAACAAAUUGAACAACUAUCUACAUAAUAAAGCACCUUCAUAAAAAGCAAAAAUCAGGUGAGUGGUCACAGUACCUGAUUUUAACUUAUAUCACUGAAAGAGGCACUGAAACGGGUGGGAAAGAAAGUCUCAAAUUGUUGAUGCCACCCGUUGGCCACCCCCUGGCAGUGACCACAUGGGGUAGAGAGAGAAUCUGCAUUUGGGGAAGGGAGAGCACAGUGAUUGUGAGACUUUGCAUUGGAACUCAGUACUGCCAUUACAGCAGAAAGUGACACCAGGCAGAAUUCAGCCAGCACCCAUAGGGGAGUAUUUACACCAGCCCUACACAGAGUAGAAUCACCCAUUCCAGCAGUUGGAAUCUGAGUUCCGGGAAGCUUCACUACCAUGAGCUAAAGGGCUCUGGGUCGCUGAAUAAACUUGAAAGGCAAUCUAGGCUACAAGGACUGCAAUUCCUGGCUAGGUCCAGGCGUGGCGCUGGGCUUGGAGCCUGUAAACAUGGGAAGCAUGUGACCUAACAAGCAUGUGACCUUGAUCCCAUCAGCUGGGGCAGUCAAGGGAGUGCUUGCACCACCCCUCCCUCAACCUGAGGCAGCCCAGCUUACAACUCCAGGAGAGACUCCUUCCCUAUGCUUGAAGAGAAGAGAGGGAGAGUAAAGAGGACUUUGUCUUGCAACUUGGAUACCAGCUCAGCCACAGUAGGAUAGGGCGAUGGGCAGAUCCUGAGACCCCCAUUCAAAGCCCUAAGUUUCAGACAACAUUUCUAGACACACCCUGGGCCAGAAGGGAACCUGCUGCCUUGAAGGGAAGGGUCUUGUCCUGGCAGGAUUCAUCACCUGGUCAGUAAAGAGCUCUUGAACCCUGAACAGUGAGCAAUGGUAACCAGGCAGUACUUGCUGUGGGCCUUAGUGAGACUCAGAGAUGGGCUGGUUUCAAGUGUGACCCAGCAAAUUCCCAGCUGUGGUGGCUGUGAGAACUCCUUCUGCUUGAGAAAAGAAGAGGGAAAAGUUAAGUCUACUUUGCUUUGUAGCUUACAUACCAGCUUGACCACAAAGUAGACUCUUGGGGCCUCCAAUUUCAGGCCUUGGCUCCUGGAUGACAUUUCUGGACAUGUCCUUGCCCAGAGAGGAGUCCACUGCCCUGAGUGGAGAGUCCCAAGCCUGGCAGCAUUCACCACGAGCUGACUGAAGAACCCUUGAGCCUUGAGUGAACAUCAGCAGUAGCCAGGCAGUAUUAAUUGUGAGCCUGAGGUUGUGGUGGCCAUGGCGAGAAACUUCCUUGCUUGCAGAGAGGUACAGAAGAGUGGAAAAUACUUUGUCUUGUGGCUUUCAUGUCAAACAUGAAGGAGAAAAUAGAUUCCCUCAGUUUUUGUUUCUCAGACAAACAAAAACUGAGGGAAUCCAUUAACACCAGAUCUGUGCUACCAGAAAUGCUAAAGGGAGUUCAACCUGAAAGAAAAAUACAUUAAUGAGCAGUAAGAAAUCAUCUGAAGGUACAAAGCUUGCUGGUAAUAGCAAGUACACAGAAAAACAUACAACAUUAUAGCACUAUCGUUAUGGUAUAUAAACUACUUAUUUCUUGAGUAGGAAGAAUAAAUGAUGAACCAAUCAAAAACAGCAACUAUGAAUUUUCAAGCCAUAGACAGUAAAGUAAGAUAUAAACUGAAAGAAUAAAACAUUAAAAGCAGUGAGACAAAGUUCAAGUGUAGAGUUUUUUUAGUUUUAUUUGUGUUUGUUUGCUUAUGAAAUCAUUGUUGUCAUUAGUUUAAUAUAAUGGAUUAUAAGAUAUUAUUUGCAAGCCUCCGGGUAACCUCAAAUAAAAAACAUACAACAGAUACA
Sapajus apella (tufted capuchin) is the source of this 4789-nucleotide RNA transcript. It is a transcript of the gene named solute carrier family 27 member 6, with no coding region annotated. The record is from RefSeq and is a predicted model, not a curated record. The transcript has 11 exons. Lineage: Eukaryota; Metazoa; Chordata; Mammalia; Primates; Cebidae.